This 468-nucleotide ribosomal RNA is filed under the name uncultured bacterium. Its description in RNAcentral is "partial 16S ribosomal RNA". It matches the Rfam family "Bacterial small subunit ribosomal RNA", at positions 28 to 507 of the family's 1533-position model. The record is from RNAcentral.
GACGAACGCUGGCGGCGUGCUUAACACAUGCAAGUCGAACGGAAAGGCCCUGCUUUUGUGGGGUGCUCGAAUGGCGAACGGGUGAGUAACACGUGAGUAACCUGCCCUUGACUUUGGGAUAACUUCAGGAAACUGGGGCUAAUACCGGAUAGGAGCUCCUGCUGCAUGGUGGGGGUUGGAAAGUUUCGGCGGUUGGGGAUGGACUCGCGGCUUAUCAGCUUGUUGGUGGGGUAGUGGCUUACCAAGGCUUUGACGGGUAGCCGGCCUGAGAGGGUGACCGGCCACAUUGGGACUGAGAUACGGCCCAGACUCCUACGGGAGGCAGCAGUGGGGAAUAUUGCACAAUGGGCGGAAGCCUGAUGCAGCAACGCCGCGUGCGGGAUGACGGGCUUCGGGUUGUAAACCGCUUUCGCCUGUGACGAAGCGUGAGUGACGGUAAUGGGUAAAGAAGCACCGGCUAACUACGUG